GAGCCACACAGCAGGAGGCUUGGCUCUAAGAGAGAGAGAGAUUCUGAAGGGUCUCCAGGAGGCACAGAAUGUGAGAGGCAGGUCCUUUUCCAGGAGUAAAUGACCAUCGUGCACCCAUGGGAAGAGUGCUGCAUCCACGGAGGACCUGGGCCAACAGUGCUCUGAAAUGGGUUUCAUGAAAGCAUCUGUGACUCAUCCCUGUCCAAGAAUGUUUUCAUUAAGAUUCAGCAGAAGCGAUGUACCAGGUCAGCAAAUACAACUGCAAAACUGGGGCCUGACCGCCUGGCCAACACAGCAAGACCCCGUCUCUACUAAAAAUUAAAAUUAAAAUUAAUUAGCUGGGUAUGGUG
Molecule: long non-coding RNA, 350 nt
Organism: Piliocolobus tephrosceles (Ugandan red Colobus)
Lineage: Eukaryota; Metazoa; Chordata; Mammalia; Primates; Cercopithecidae
Exons: 2
Source: RefSeq, a predicted model, not a curated record